CCUACGGGUGGCAGCAGUGAGGAAUCUUGGUCAAUGGACGAGAUUCUGAACCAGCCAAGUAGCGUGAAGGAUGACUGCCCUAUGGGCUGUAAACUUCUUUUAUAAAGGAAUAAAACGAGGCACGUGUGCCUUUUUCCAUGUACUUUAUGAAUAAGGAUAGGCUAACGCCGUGCCAACACCGCCGGUACUACGGAGGAUGCGAGCGUUAUCCGGAUUUAUUGGGUUUAAAGGGUGGGCAGCGGGGGGCAAAAGUCAGCGGUAAAAUGGCGGGGCUCAACCCCGCUCCGCCGUUGAAACUGUGUCCCUUGAGUGCGCGAAGGGUAGGCGGAAUGCGUGGUGUAGCGGUGAAAUGCAUAGAUAUCACGCAGAACUCCGAUCGCGAAGGCAGCCUACCGGCGCGCAACUGACGCUGAUGCACGAAAGCGUGGGUAUCGAACAGGAUUAGAUACCCUUGUAGUC
Molecule: ribosomal RNA, 459 nt
Filed under: uncultured bacterium
Lineage: Bacteria
Description: partial 16S ribosomal RNA
Rfam family: Bacterial small subunit ribosomal RNA
Source: RNAcentral